Non-coding RNA from Cyanidioschyzon merolae strain 10D, 72 nucleotides. NCBI's taxonomy places the organism in Eukaryota, Rhodophyta, Bangiophyceae, Cyanidiales, Cyanidiaceae. The record is from the annotation of a RefSeq genome assembly.
AGGAUCGAAACCUCGUCUCGCUAAGCGAGAUGGCGCAGCGGAAGCGUGAUGGGCUCAUAACCCAUAGGUCCG